GGACAAGGCCCACACGCCCGGCCCACGUGUACCGCUGCUGGGCUGUGAGAACUAAGGGAUCCACCAAACAGUGGGGACUCUGUAAAAGAAUGCGCAAGGUGAAAAUAGGUCAGGUGUCGAGUAGCUAUUCUCAUUAUCCUCUAGGUGAAUGUAGAGGUCCCGCCGUCAGUUAUCAACCAUGAAUAAGUCCAGCAUUGGUUGGUGGUUGAAAAUCGACCCUCCUCUAAACAAUUCUGAACAUGCAAAGAGUUUUUAUACCCUGCACACCGGUCCUUGACUGCCCUUGCCCGUGUUUCAGAGAACAGUGAAGGACACUCCUGCCUCUGAGGACUGUCAACCACAAGAUUCUACCCACAGAACACUAAUUGCUCUAAGGGCUGGACCUAGCCCUGACCCUACAGAAUAAAAAGACCCAGUUUGGGACUUGAAAUCCUAUCAGUUCGCACCCUGCAAAUCUCCACCCUGGAAAGCAACCCUCCUCUAACCCUUCUCUCCUCAAAUUAUAUAUAUUUAUAAUAUAUAUUAAUUUAUAAUACAUGUAAUAUAUGCCCUCUGCUCAGUUCUCUGCUGCUUCUCACCUGAGCAGAGGCAGCCACCCUCCUGGCUUCUUC
Long non-coding RNA from Meriones unguiculatus (Mongolian gerbil), 611 nucleotides. RefSeq lists it as uncharacterized. The transcript has 3 exons. The record is from RefSeq and is a predicted model, not a curated record. NCBI's taxonomy places the organism in Eukaryota, Metazoa, Chordata, Mammalia, Rodentia, Muridae.